Molecule: long non-coding RNA, 141 nt
Organism: Gymnogyps californianus (California condor)
Lineage: Eukaryota; Metazoa; Chordata; Aves; Accipitriformes; Cathartidae
Exons: 3
Source: RefSeq, a predicted model, not a curated record
CUGCCACUGUAAUUCCCUUAGGGGCUUUGUAGAUGCAGCGGGACGAGCUGUGUGCCAAAGGGCAACAGAGGAGAGGCGAGCGGAGCGCUGUAAGAAGGUGCAAAGCGGGAUAUUGGCACCAGAGCUGAUUCGGGCAAGGUG